Long non-coding RNA from Varanus komodoensis (Komodo dragon), 1230 nucleotides. RefSeq lists it as uncharacterized. The record is from RefSeq and is a predicted model, not a curated record. NCBI's taxonomy places the organism in Eukaryota, Metazoa, Chordata, Lepidosauria, Squamata, Varanidae. The transcript has 5 exons.
CGGGCUGCUGGCCGUCGUUCUUGCACGUGGGCGUUCAGCACGCUGCUGGGUUCCCGGCUUUCCUUCUCCCCCCUUGGCGCCUCUCUUCCCCCGUGGUUCCUUUUUGUCUCAAACCCGCGGCUAACUUUCUGCACGUGGCCCCCGCUGCCGUCUGAAGGAGGCGGGUGCUGAGGACUAGCACCUUUGAAUGCUCUUCCGGAAACGAACGCCCGAAAUCGCCCUGCUUGGUGCUUUCCUUGUACGGUGCUUUCCUAUGAAUGGCUUCUCGGGGGCAGUUCUGGCUUGGCUUAGUCGGGGAAGGCCCUAGGACUCCCAAGAGCGGGCCGUGACGUUUCCCCUGCCUGUACUUGCCUGGGAUGGAACAGUGUCGCCUGCGGAAUGCUAGGAUUUUUUCUGUCUACAAGUGUGCAGGUCUUCUGGUGCAUAAAUGCAAGCGGGACCUUCCUGGCACCUGAUUUUGUGACGCAUCAGAUGGGAGCAGGAGCUGAGUGAUGCCGUGCCCGUUGCAGGAGCCAAAAUGGAGACACGAGGAGGACCGACAUUGAUGAGGUUCCUUACCUGAAGCUAAAGAAAAAAUUAAAAUGGUUCAUUGAGAAUAGAAGUGGAAGAGGAUGCGCACCAGCUCAGCUUGGAUCCACCAGCACCAAAUGAAGCGGAUCAGGGCCAGGGGCUGCUUUCCAUCAGCUCAUGGAAAGACACGGAGCGGAGUGGAGUCGCCAUCCUGCCUUUUCUGGCCGUGCCCAGAUGCGAACCUGGGAGUGUUGGUUCCGUUUUUCAGCUUGGGGAUGGCUCAUAAGAAUACGUGAGAUCAGGCCAGAAGUCCACCGUGCAAGAUCAGACUGAGGGCCCACGCGCUCCGGCCGUCUGUGGAAGAGCACAAGUGCACAGAGGCCCUCCUGCUCAUCUUCUCCAACAAGCGUCCCUCGGGCAGCUGGCUGUGAUGCACAAGAUCACAGAGGCGGAGCCCUGUCUGGCCGGCCAAGAGACGCCGAAGAGCUGCUUGCCAGUGGCUGCUGGCUUGACACCACGUGCCCCCACCUGGGUGUUGCAGUCGGUGCUGUGGAGGAUGUGGUCCUGCCCCCGCUUCACCCACGGGCGCCCGCCCCGUUUCCCUCUGAGUCACUGUGGCUGGCAGAGCCUGGGUGGGGGUGCACAGCUCCCAGGGCUCGAAAGAGGAAGUCUCCGGUCGGCCAGUGCACGGUUCUGCCAAUAAACGCGAGUGCUACCGUU